UAGGUUAUUGAGAUGGGAGAAGACGAAUACGAUCCACCCAUCAUCCUUGGAAGACCAUUCCUCAGCACCGUUAAGGCAAUCAUCUACAUUGGAACUGGAGAAGUCCAUAUGCACUUCCCCUCAGAGAAGGUACGCCGCUAUUUUACUGACCCUAACUAUAUUGUUAAAGAAUCUAAGCACGUUAGAAAGCGACGCAACCGCAACCAGAGGAGGCAAAUCAUCAAGGACGGAUGGGCAGACUACGAAGGAGAAGUGGUAAGGUCAGAAGACGUAGAGUUUAAACAGAACUAUCCUGAGGAGACCGAAGCACCGAGUCAGGUGUGGAGAGAAAAGAUAACCAUACAUGAAGAAGAGGCACCGCCGAAAGUACCGACUCCGCCAUCCAACGUAUCCCAGGACGAAUGAGAAAACGGAGAGUCCCGUUCAGAGGACUUAAAAACACCGAACACCUUGCCAAGAGGUAAACUUGGUAGUUAUCCUUUUCCCUUUCAAUUAUUUAAAUAGCUUGCUUAGUUAAUCAUGUUCAUGCUAACCUAAAAAGAAAAUAAAAAUGUGAAAAAAAAUAGUAAGCCCCAUGUGAGUAUACGAGUGGCAUAAAAACCCAUAAGUACAUUCACUGUGGUGGCAUAAAAAUAAAAUAAAUAUUUCUUUUCUGCUCUAUAAAAUGAAAAUACAAAAACAGAGAGUAAUAUUAAGGAGUCUCAACAUGAUAAAGGCUAGAUAUCUAUGCUAACACUUAAUCAGUUCCACAAGCUUUGUUGUCUAUUUGAGCUCCACAAAAUUUAAGAAUCAAGAAGACUAGCAGACGGAGGACAUUCUAAUCGCUGUCAGAAUGCUGCUGACUUUCAAAUACACCUCUGCCACCUGCUAGCUACAUCAAGAGAAAUUACGUCAAAAUUCAGCUUGGGGGAGAGCACCCCCAUUUAUCUCGAUAAGUAUUUCUAUCUAUCUCUAUACUUAUACUAUAUUAAAAUAUACAUUACUAUGGAAAACUAAAUAAAGAUUUUAUGCUUAUAUAUAUAUGUCUUUUGCUUAGUAUGUUUAAUAAAUAAAUAAAGUGGCUAUGCUAAUCUGUAUCUAAAUAAAACUCUAGCAUGGAUAUGACGAAUAGUUGCUCUACCUAAUUUGCAAAUUUGAAGUUCUCUCACUAGUUUAGAUACAACUGUUAUAAUUUAAAGCUUGCUCUAGACCUAAACUUGUGGGAUGAAAACUUGAUCUGAAGUCUAAGUUGUUAACGGAUAUGAUAUGGGAAGGUUGAGCUGCUGUUUAUCUAUUCCUAGAGAUGCUAGAAUUCUGUAGAAUUUUAUCUUUGAAAAUCUUUAAAAUGUUGCAUGAUGAGUUCCUAUAUGAUGAGAGUUUAAAUUCCAACCACAGCCAUAUAUACAUGCUUGCUAGACUUUGAGCCACACAUUUACUAUUUACUGCUUAUGAGCAUUGAGUGUGGUCAAGCUGUGUAGACCCUUAGGAGCUUGUCAUGUGGUUGAAUCAAGAUUUCACUUGCACGUUCACUCACAUAUGCUGCUUCUACUCCAGAAGUACCAUCCACAUAUAUCCACCCAAUUCCAUCUCCAGAAUCACCCAAAAAUAUUCUACUCCUAAUCCGAGAGAGAAUAACCAAAAAUAUUUCUGUUUUUCCCCUAUGAAAUAAAUGCUCAAGUUAUCUUGUAACUACCACUUGCUAUAUUAUCUCAUGAGAUGAGUGCUCUAAAAAAAGAAAAAAAAAACAGAAAAGAUACGAGGAAAUAAAAAGGGGCAAGUGCCUGGAACCUCGAAAGAAAAGAAAAAGUGAGACGAGAGGUAAAAAUGGACAAGUGUUCGACAGUAGAAUUAGAGGUACAAGAUACCCACCUGAGAAGAAAGAAAAAAAAAGAAAAGAUAGAGCAUCUCAUUCUCCUCAAAGUUUCAAAAAGCAAGGAAGGUAUGUAUCCUCUCAAAGAGCACAGGUAGAAUUAGACUUCCACCAUUGUUAUCACCAUCAUUACCAUACACCAUUCAUUUGCCACACAUGCACAUCUUGAUUUGGCUUAUUGAUUUGUUUCUUUGGAUCCAUGGUUUGACUAUACAAUAAAUGUCUUGUAAGUAUGUAUACUUUAUCUCCCACCUAUGAGCUCCAGAUAUUAAAGCCUUAUUAGAGUAGGGUGAGAGAUAAGGCAAUGUCACUAUGCCAUAUACCAUAAAUACCACAUAUAUUGAGAGAAGGCACAUACCAUCACUGCCAUGGUAAGGAUCCAGAAAUACCACAAAGGAGAGAUUUGAGAGAGUCAUACAAGGAAUCUCUGAGUUUUAUUUGAAAAUCUGCAAAAACUCCAGAGCUAUAGCUGAUCAAGAAUAAGAGACAUGGCACUUGACUAGAAUGUUCUAUCCUUUAACUACUCAAGACAGAAGUGACGGUUACAAGUCCCAUGGUGAAAGGUAAAGUAAGUAAGUUUUAUGUCUUGACAGUUUACUCUAACUCAGAGAUAAGAUCUUAUUAUAAAGCAUGUGUACCGUCAAUUUUAAAAGUAUUGCAGCAACUUCUAAUCUAUCCUUGCUCAGGGACGAGCAAGUGGUAAGCUUGGGGGAGUUUGUUGACGGUCCUUAAGUAUCAAAUUUAAUUAUCAAAUAAACAAAGAAAAGGAUCCAAAUGAAAUCAACAUCUAGACUUAGGGUUUUAUCUGACAGAAUUCCACGAGUUUUGGUGUUUGUCUAUUUCUGCAGGGGGUUAUUAGGAAAUACGAAAGAAAGGCCCACACGUCGGGAUUACAUAGAGAUAUUAACGUGCCGCACAAUUAUCUUACAUCUAGAAGACUCAAGAAGCCACGGGAAGGAAGCGGAGGUCGAACGGGGCCAGGCACUGGGCGCCCGCCCAGUUGCCCUGGGCGCCCGCCCCCUGUUGGAGUCCAAACAGGACUCUCUCUCGGGAAAGACCUCCACCGACCUAAAGGAUCAAGGAUUAUCGUUCAAUCAAUGUCGGUUUGAUCCAACGGCCCAUAUUCACUUGAAGGGACUAUAAAACCAGACCCCCUGGCCACUGGAGGAGAGAGCCUCUCAACCCUAAUUCAUUAUUCUUCAAGGGAGAAGAAGCCUCUGAUCAAGAUUAGAGCCACCACAUCAAUUAGAUAUCUAGAUUAGCAUAGCUACAUAGGAUUAGAACUAGAAGGAGCAAAUCUUCGAUUGGUUUUCAGAUCUGUCAAGAGGAUUCUUGGUAAUUCUCUAAUUGUGCUUCUAAUUGUUCUUCUAAUCAUCUUUGUUCUUCAAUAUUAUGAAUAUGACUUUGUUCUACUUCAAAAUAUUGCUUAUGACUUUGCUCUACUUGCUUAUAUUCAAGAUUAUAUUAUUCUUAGUUUGUCAUAGUUAUGUACUUGGCUUAGUUAGAUUGGAUCUAUAUACAUGCUUAGGAUCGUAUAGCGUUUAUCCAUCGGAUCCAUGGGUAAAUGAUAGAUAUUGUGUAGGCGUGGUGCUUAUACCGUAUUUAUCUGCGAUUGUACCCAAUAUGCAAGAUCGUGGGGUAGUUCGUGAUAGUGACAACUGUUGACGGUCCUUAAGUAUCAAAUAUAAUCAUCAAAUAAAUAAAGAAAAGGAUCCAAAUGCAACCAACACCUAGACUUAGGGUUUUAUCUGACAGAAUUCCACGAGUUUUGGUGUUUGUCUAUUUCUGCAGGGGGUUAUCAGGAAAUAAGGAAGAAAGGCCCACAUGUCGGGAUUACAUAGAGAUAUCAACCCACCGCGCAAUUUUCUAGCAUCUAGAAGACUCCAGAAGCCACGGGAAGGAAGCGGAGCCCGAAAGGGGCCAGGCCCAGGGCGCCCGCCCCCCUCUGGACUCCGUUCCGGACUCUCUUCGCACACGACGUUCCACCGACCUAUUGGAUCCAGAAUAACAUAGUACCACCUCGCCUAUCGACCUAAAAACGCAUAGAAGGGGAGGACUAUAUAAGGAGACCCCCCUGGCCCCUGGAGAAGACAAGAAAUUAUCAUAGAGAUUGAGGGGUGCCCUCGAAGGAAAACCUCUUCUCUAAAUAAUAUUUCGUUUUAGGCUUAGCAACCAAUGUAAGGUAGAAAUAGAUCUUCUAGUUUCUACUAGAUUGGGAGAGAUAGAGUGGAGGUGUGGAUCGGAGGAAGGCCGGCCUGUCGGUGUCUACUCCGAGUUGUACCUACGGGAUCAAGUCUCCUAACCCGAGGCUUGCUUCUAAGAUUCUUCAGUAAUUCGACUUCUAAUACUAGUAAGUUCUUGUUUUAUUGUUCUUUGGUUUAUGAGUUUACUUUAAUCCUCUUCCGGUUGAGUAUUAGAGUAAUCACUUGUUAGCGUAAACGUGGUGUUUAGGCUAGGGUACUCAUAGAUAUCCCCUGACUAGCUGGACCGUGGUAGUAGCGAGGAACGUGACAUUUCCGAGUUACCUUUGUAGAUCACAUCUCGUUAGCAGGACGGGUAGGUUUAUAGGUGCGGGUCGAACAUCCUUUGUGUUGUCUAGAUUCCGUGAGCCUCCCCAAUAGAACAGUAGAUCAUCCUUACCAAGGUUAGAACGAGACUACGGUUGCAGUCUUCUCUAUACAUCACUCACAUCGAGAGACAUUCUUUGUAGCCUAAUGGGAUAGUAGCCUAGAUUUGGUUAGUCAGAUGCACCCUUUCUCCCAGUGGUAAAAAUAUAAAUACGAUAACUCUGGAUAACCUCCCGGGUGAAAUGCUCACCGAUAUCCGUGCGCUUGCGGAUCAUUUCCUUAUUGCGUUACCAAAUAUCAACAAGCAUUUCUGGCGCCGUUGCCGGGGAGAAAGACGGUUUGCUGAGAUAACUUUGAGUCUUGCUAUUAUCUUGUAUUAUACUUUUAUACUUUUAUUCUUUUAUCUUUUUAUUUUGUCUAUCUUUAUGGAUAACUCAAAUUCCAUACAUAUUAUUAAAUUCUUUGCACCUUCGGAGACCAGCCAUAGACCAUGGGAGUCAACACGUCCUGCCCCUAAUUAUGAUCUGUGUCCGGAGUUGAUUGCAAUAGGUCAAAACCAACCCUUUUCUAUAGCCGAGGUCCUAUCUUUUAAUCAAGAAGAUAAUGCACUUUUAGCUACACCUAGGGAAUCUUUUAAUCUUUCUAUAAAUUCUGGUUUAGACCUAGCCCUACAAGAUCAUGUUUUUCCUAGAUAUUUUCAAAUUGGUCUUAAUCAUAUAACCUUUGGUAGAGUCAUUCUUUCUUUAUCUAUUAGUAAAGGAAGGUAUGUCUUCAUUUGUGGACAUCCUUCUUGUACUAGCAUUCAUAGAAUAAUCUUAGAGAUAGAGAAGGAAUCAUCUCCCAGACAAGGAGAGGAUGUUUCAAUAGCCGAUUUCCAAACAUUUCAAUCCCAUGAUUCGGCUAUCCAUCCCAUCCUUGAGCUUAAUAGUUUCUACUAUGCUCUUCCUCUUGAACCUCCCGAUAAUCCUAUGAAUCUUUCUAGACAUCCCAUGCAUAAGAAGGAGGAUCGAGAAGAGCAACAUCAAUGGCUAGAGGGCAUUAAAAAUCCAUGUGCUAUCACCAUUGAAUGGAUAGAUAAAACAAACUUGAGAGACAAUCCUAGAGGAAUUUUAAACAUUCAUGAAGAAUCAUCCUUGGAGUUUGAGAAUAAGAGAAACAACAGUGAGCAUGGAAGUUAUUUCAUAAAUACCUCACCCAGUCCUUGCUCAUAUAAAACAUCUCUCCAAUCAAUUUGUCUCUCCAUCCUUACCACAUUUGAGAUCUUCAACCCCCUCUUCUUUUCUAUUUAUAAAAACUUUAAAAGGGCGGUUGUCGAUGCAUAUGUCUAUAAUAAAUAUUGCAGAUCUCGUUGAGUUAAUUGAUGGUUCCCCAAGGACAAGCUUAGUGUCCUAAAACAAGCACUUCUAAUUAUUUGCAACAUUGCCUUGUGUAUUGAGCAUAUAAAGAUAAUUGUAGAAAUAUUCCUUCAGGUAUUCUUGCCACUAACCUUUCUAGGAUUGGAGCAAGAAGAUCGGAUGAAUGACAAGCGCAAGGUAUGCCCAACCAAUCAUCAUGCAACAUUAAAUUAAAUUCAUCCAAUCUUGAAUUUUGCAAAAUUCAAGCUUGGGGGAGUACUUUACAUAAAACAUCAUUUGCCAUGUUGCUAUGUUGGUUGUCCUUACCUUUGAGACAUGCUCAAUUUGUUAAAUACUAAUCACACUACUUCAUCUCCACUUGAGUAGAUCUCUAUAAAAGCCAUCGUGCUACCUUUGUUUAUCCUAGUAAGUGUUAGUUUGGAAGUACUGGUCACACUUCCAAUGGCAUUUAAAUUAAGCAUGGUGCUUAGGUUAAAUAGCCUUCCUUAAUCUGAUUAGACAUGGAGUCUAGUUUGGUUACUGAACUAAAAACUGCUUGAGUAGAUAUUGGUAUAUUUUGUUGGACUAACCCCUGUAGGAAAACUUUCAAUAUCAACCUGGGAAGUCCUGAGAUGCAAACUCAUUAGAGAUGAAGAAAGUGACACAUGAAGUUUAACAAUUUGCUCAAGAAAGACGUAGCUCAUAAGAGAUGAUUCAUGGAGGGUGCCACAAACACGAUGCACAACCGCUAAGAAAGGAAAGCUUCCACAAGGUGAUACUGUACCAUCACUCUUCAAGUAAGGUAACAUCUUAAGGUACUUGACUAACACUUUUAUAAGCUCCUCUUUGGUUCUGGCAUUCACAUAAAUAAAGAGACAAACAUGUAUGAUUUAUAACUCCAAAUUAACCAACUCAAUUAAUUCAACAUGUUUAGUCCUUUAAUCUUUAUUCUUAGUACUACCUUCGUGACCCCACACUCCUAAUCAUAUAAGCUAAAGUAUUGCACAUGCAAUCUUUGGAAGAUAUAAACAAAAUAUAAAUAUAGAUAGAUUAUCUUUCCAUUAGGUUGAGCCAUCUGAUCUGACAAAUGCUACACUCAUGAUCCAUCAAUUUUGUCUUGCUCACUAUGCUUAAGGUUAGAGAAGAACAAAUACACUUUUGGUUCUGUUGGUGUUUUCCACCAACAGGGCCCAUGCACUUGAUCUCUACCUUGUCUCUAUGAGCAGGAACACUUCGAGCAUAAUAUGAAGGAGUUUUACAACUCCCAGAUUCCACUAAGUGAAGAACUAGGAUCUACGAGCACAAACACACUGGAGAUACUGGACGCUCAGGCAAUCACUGCCCUAAGAUGCUUGAGGACGUGAACUACAUCAACAACAAUAACAACUAUUACUACAACCGUCCUCAACGACAUCAAGGUUGGAAUCAACAAAGGCCUAAUUACUCAGAGAGGUGAUCUAGGACGCCCCGUCAUCCCGAUCUCCAUCGGCAUGGUGGACUUCCCAGAAGCACUCUGCGACUUUGGCUCUAGCGUCAACAUUAUGCCCAGGGUUGCAGAUCGGACACUUAGUUUCCCAAAGGAAAUAUUAAAGAACCUCUGCGUCCGAGUUGGUACCUUGUAUGCUCUAGCAGACUUCAUGGUGAUAGAGACUGGUACUGAGGAGAGGGCACCCAUCAUCUUAGGGAGGCCAUUCCUAAACACUAGAGCUGUCAUCUACGCUAAUGCUGCCAAGAUCAGUCUCUACAUCAAGGGGAAGAAGGAGACUUUCCUUCAAGAACAAGACUACACAAACUUCAGAGCAACCCCGACAUGAGCCAAGGAAGAGGACCAACAGGAGGAACAGGAACAAGCAAAUGUGGACCGAGUCAGCUAAGAUGGUCACUGCAGUUCAAGGAGGUCAAGAUCGUCGACUCAAGUCACCUUUCUUGAUCAAGAAGGACGACCCUGGUGUUCUAAGCAUUGAAGUGCACAAUCAACAGAUACUCUUUUCAGAAGACACUCUACGACACCGGAUCUGACGUCAACAUAAUGGCCGUAGUCACUUAUCAGCUCCUGCAUGAAACCAUGCCCCUACAACCAAUAUACAUUCAGCUAUAGAUGACUUUCAAGUUAUUGACAUGGGAGAAGAUGAAUAUGAUCCACCCACCAUCCUUGGAAGACAGUUCCUCAGCACUAUCAAAGCCAUCAUCUAUAUUGGAACCGGAGAAGUCCACAUACACUUCUCCUCUGAGAAGGUAUGCCGCUGUUUUACUGACCCUAACUAUAUAGUUGAAGACUCUAAGCAGGUCAGGACAAGAAGAAAUCAUCAAGGACGGAUGGGUAGACUACGAAGGAGAAGUGAUAAGGACUGAAGACAUACCACUUGAACAUAACUGUCCUGAGGAGACCAUAGCACCGAGUCAGGUGUGGAGAGAGAAUAUAGUUACACACGAAGAGGAGGCGCCACCGGAAUCACCGACUACGUCAUCCAGCGAAUCCCAGGACGAUUAAGAAAAUGGAGAGUCCCGCUCGGAGGACUUAAAAACACCGAACGCCUUGCCAAGAGGUAAACUUGGUAGUUAUCCUUUCCCUUUUAAUUAUUUCAAAUAGUUUACUUAGUUAAUCAUGUUCGUAUUAUCCUAGAAAGAAAAUAAAAAAAAUGUGAAAAAAAACUGUAAGCCCCAUGUGAGUAGACGAGUGGCACAAAACCCAUAAGUACAUUCACUGUGGUGGCAUAAAAAUAAAAUAAAUAUUUUUCUGCUUUAUAAAAACAAAAAUAUAAAAACAGGGAGUAAUAUUUAUUAAGGAGUCUCAACAUGAUAAAGGCUAGAUGUUUAUGCUAACACUUAACCAGUUCCACAAGCUUUGUUGUCUAUUUGAGCUCCACAGAAUUUAAGAAUCAAGAAGACUAGCAGACGGAGGACAUUCUAAUCGCUGUCAAAAUACUGCUGACUUUCAAACACACCUCUGCCACCUGCUAGCUACAUCAAGAGAAAUUACGUCAAAAUUCAGCUUGGGGGAGAGCACCCCCAUUUAUCUCGAUAAGUAUUUCUAUCUAUCUUUAUACUUAUACUAUAUUAGAAUAUAAAUACACAUAACUAUGAAAAACCAAAUAAAGAUUUUAUGCUUAUAUAUAUUUUGCUUAGUGUGUUUAAUAAAUAAAUAAAGUGGCUAUGCUAAUCGGUAUCUAAUAAAACUUAAGCAUGGAUAUGAUGAAUAGUUGCUCUGCCUAAUUUGCAAAUUAGAAGUUCUCUCUCAAGUUUAGAUAUAACUGUUAUAAUUUAAGGCCUGCUCUAGACCUAAACUUGUGGGAUGAAGACUUGAUCUGAAGUCUAAGUUGUUAACGGAUACGAUAUGGGAAGGUUGAGCUGCUGUUUAUCUGUUCCUAGAGAUGCUAGAAUUUUGGAGAAUUUUAUCUUUGAAAAAUCUUUAAAAUAACACAUGAUGAGUUCCUGUAUGAUGAGAGUUUAAAUUCCUACCACAACCAUAUAUACAUGCUUGCUAGACCUUGAGCCACACAUUUACUAUUUACUGCUUAUGAGCAUUGAGUGUGGUCAAGCUGUGUAGACCCUUAGGAGCUUGUCAUGUGGUUAAAUCAAGAUUCACUUGCACGUUCACUCAUACAUGCUACUUCUACUCCGGAAGUACCAUCCACAUAUAUCCUCUCAUUUCCAUCUCCAAAACCACCCAAAAGUAUUCUACUCCAAAUCCGAGAGAGAAUAACCAAAAAUAUUUCUGUUUCCCCUUGUGAAAUAAAUGCUCAAGUUAUCUUGUUACUACCACUUGCUAUAUUAUCUCAAGAGAUGAAUGCUCUAAAAAAAAGAGAAAAAGAAAAUAAAAGAUACGAGGAAAUAAAAAGGAGCAAGUGCUCGGAACCUCGAAAGAAAAGAAAAAUAUAGAGCAUCUCAUUCUCCUCAUAAAGUUUCAAAAGCAAGGAAGGUAUGUAUCCCCUCAAAGAGCAAAGUAGAAUUAGACUUCCACCACCAUUAUCACCAUCAUCACCAUACACCAUUCACAUGCACAUCUUGAUUUGGCUUAUUGAUUUGUUUCUUUGGAUCCAUGGUUUGACUAUACAAUAAAUGUCUUGUAAGUAUGUAUACUUUAUCUCCCACCUAUGAGCUCCAGAUAUUAAAGCCUUAUUAGAGUAGGGUGAGAGAGAAGGCAAUGUCACUAUGCCUCAUUCCACAAAUACCACAUAUUUUGAGAGAAGGCAUAUACCAUCACUGCCUUGGUAAGGAUCCAGAAAUACCACAAAAGAGAGUCCUGAGAGAGUCAUAUAAGGAAUCUCUGAGUUUUAUUUGAAAAUCUGCAAAAACCCCAGAGCUAUAGCUGAUCAAGAAUAAGAGACAUGGCACUUGGCUAGACUGUUCUAUCUUUUAACCACUCAAGAAAGAAGUGACGGUUACAAGUCCUAUGGUGUAGGUAAAGUAAGUAAGUUUUAAGUCUUAACAGUUUAUUCUAACUCAGAGAUGAGAUCUUGUUUAAAUGCGUGUGUACUUCUAAGAAAUGAAACCACUGCAGAAACUCUUGAGUUCAUCCUUGCUCAGGGACGAGCAAGAGGUAAGCUUGGGGGAGUUUGUUGACGGUCCUUAAGUAUCAAAUAUAAUCAUCAAAUAAAUAAAAAAAAGGAUCCAAAUGCAACCAACAC
Molecule: long non-coding RNA, 10378 nt
Filed under: Sorghum bicolor (sorghum)
Lineage: Eukaryota; Viridiplantae; Streptophyta; Magnoliopsida; Poales; Poaceae
Description: long non-coding RNA (SBIC_LNC002824)
Source: RNAcentral